AGUGAACGCUGGCGGUAGGCCUAACACAUGCAAGUCGAACGGCAGCACAGUAAGAGCUUGCUCUUACGGGUGGCGAGUGGCGGACGGGUGAGGAAUACAUCGGACUCUACUUUUUCGUGGGGGAUAACGUAGGGAAACUUACGCUAAUACCGCAUACGACCUACGGGUGAAAGUAGGGGAUCUUCGGACCUUGCGCGAUUGAAUGAGCCGAUGUCGGAUUAGCUAGUUGGCGGGGUAAAGGCCCACCAAGGCGACGAUCCGUAGCUGGUCUGAGAGGAUGAUCAGCCACACUGGAACUGAGACACGGUCCAGACUCCUACGGGAGGCAGCAGUGGGGAAUAUUGGACAAUGGGCGCAAGCCUGAUCCAGCCAUACCGCGUGGGUGAAGAAGGCCUUCGGGUUGUAAAGCCCUUUUGUUGGGAAAGAAAAGCAGCAGGUUAAUACCCCGCCGUUCUGACGGUACCCAAAGAAUAAGCACCGGCUAACUUCGUG
This 492-nucleotide ribosomal RNA is filed under the name uncultured bacterium. RNAcentral describes it as "partial 16S ribosomal RNA". It matches the Rfam family "Bacterial small subunit ribosomal RNA", at positions 29 to 507 of the family's 1533-position model. The record is from RNAcentral.